AAGGUGUGCUAGGGGUGCCUGUGGCUGAGAAAUGAGCAAUCAUUAACCCUUUUACCUGAUCUGGAUAGUACCAGCGUAGGGAAGCGUUAUUUACGUUAA
Molecule: regulatory RNA element, 99 nt
Organism: Clostridium amylolyticum
Lineage: Bacteria; Bacillati; Bacillota; Clostridia; Eubacteriales; Clostridiaceae
Rfam family: TPP riboswitch aptamer (THI element)
About the family: Vitamin B(1) in its active form thiamin pyrophosphate (TPP) is an essential coenzyme that is synthesised by coupling of pyrimidine and thiazole moieties in bacteria. The previously detected thiamin-regulatory element, thi box was extended, resulting in a new, highly conserved RNA secondary structure, the THI element, which is widely distributed in eubacteria and also occurs in some archaea.
Source: Rfam